RNAcentral lists this long non-coding RNA (1938 nucleotides) under Ursus maritimus (polar bear). RNAcentral's name for it is "lncRNA (ENSUMAG00000011054.1)". Lineage: Eukaryota; Metazoa; Chordata; Mammalia; Carnivora; Ursidae. The record is from RNAcentral.
GGCCAGGCCUCCGGAGGGUGCUGGUUCCACCCAUCCUGACCUGACGCCCUCUUCCAUUGCAGAGUGACCAUCACCAUGCUGGUAGCCACCGCGGUCUGCUGUUACCUCUUCUGGCUCAUCACUAUCCUGGCUCAGCUGAAUCCCCUUUUCGGGCCGCAGCUGAAGAAUGAGACCAUCUGGUACGUGCGUUUCCUGUGGGAGUGACCGCCGCCACUUCGGCCGCAGGUGCCCCAGCUCUCCGGAUGACUUUGGCUGUCCUGUCCCCGACGACCCCUCUGUCCCCACCCUCACAGCUGUAUCUGGGUCCCUCCAUGGCUUCCUCCCCCAGGAUCUGCCUGGUGCCAGCAGCUCCUGCCUUCUCCAUCCAGGGGGCGGCCCGAAGCUGAGUCAGGCUGGAGCAGAAGGUCUCCAGCCCUCAACUCCCCCUGCCCCUCCCAAGUAGACCCCAGCUGGGAGCUGACAGGGGUGGGACCUGUCUUUUACCAGUGAGGCAGCCCCAGGAAGUCUGCGUGUCCUGUGGAGAAGGGGUGUCCAGCCCGGGAUGCUCCAAGCCUGGGCUGGGCUGGGCUGGGCUGGACCUGGGAGAAAGCCCCGGAUGGGGAGUCCGCUGGUUCCCUUCAGCUCUGUCACUGUCCUCCUGCGCGACCCUGGGAAGCAUCUCUGGCUCCUCUGAGAGACGGAGAGACCUAUUAGGGUGUCACAAAGGCCUUUCCUGGGAUUCUUUAAUUUUCGGACACAUAGAGAUGGGAAAUUUUUGAGAAAGUUGAAGUGAGUAAUGGAAAAACACUCCCACACAAAAAGCAACAUAGUGAUUUGGGUCAGGAUUGAAACCAAUCUGUUUAGGAUUCUUUACGGUUGUGAAGUCACGUCAGUGGGCUUGCUUGGAAAACCGUGUCUCCUUAGACUAUCCUGUUCCACCUUCCUCCCUUGUCCUGGUCCCUCCUCUGUGAAUAAGCUCCCCGCUGCCUGGGGGCUCAGUCUGAGCACUGCGGCCUGGAUUCCCUCAUUUGAGUGUAGUGGGCGUGGAUUUCAGAGCCCCCCAACCCCAUAGCAGCAGCUUGGUCGCCUGGAGUUAGGAUGAGAGAGACAAGUGGGGGUGAGGUGUGGGCGCUGCUGUGGCCCACUGGGCCCAUCCUAGCCCCCAAGGGCAGCACCAGACCUGUCCGCCCGGAGUGGCCUGAGCUCUGUGCUGGGACGGUGAGGGCGGAGGAGCACCAGGCCUGACGAGGCCUGGAAGGCAGAACGUGCAGGCCUCAGACCAGAGGGGACCCAGGACUCCCGCCCGAGCCCUCACUCCUCCCGGGAGAGUUGAGGUUGAGACCUCAGGCAACCCCCACCCCCACCACAUUGCCUCCCUGGGGGAAGGCGCCAAUCUUGAAUAUUUAUUGAGUGUAUUUAUGUGAUUAACAUUCCAUUUAGUGGGCAUUACUUCAGAACAGUGGUCGAUUGCGAUAUGUCUCACGUAGAUUUCCUGGUUCUGGGCUUGGCCUGUUGCUCAGAGCUCUGACUGGGGUCUCCCUUUGACAUCCCACCUCACCCACCUUUCAGACUCCCUUCCCGUCCUGCCCUCUGUGGGCCUCCUGGAGUGGGGGAUGCUGAGUGUGGGUUGUACUGAAAACCUGAUCCACGUCCAGUGGCUCAUGAGUGGUGGCCAAGUCCUGGCUGAGGCCGAGUUUGCUGGCUGCUCCCGUAUGCUCAGUGGGUGGGUGGGGGGCACCGGGCUGGACGCUUGGAGCUGCGGAUCAUGGACACUGCAAACGACAUUCUCCUGAGACCUGAAGGAGAAGACACGGCAUCCCUGAUUCUGCCCAGAAACAGUCCUGGCAGAGGGAAGACUCAGGAUGGUUCAAGUGGAACUCUGACCACCACUCAUCUGUACCCCAGAUACAGCACACAGCUCCUGAGGCUGAAUAAUAAAGCAGGUCCCCCAGAUCUCCA